AGAGUUGAUCAUGCUCAGGAUGAACGCUAGCGGCAGGCUUAACACAUGCAAGUCGAGGGGCAGCGGGAUGUAGCAAUACAUUGCCGGCGACCGGCGGAUGGGUGCGUAACGCGUAUGCAACCUACCUUAUACAGGGGAAUAACCUUUCGAAAGGGAGACUAACACCCCAUAGUAUUGAUUUAAGGCAUCUUAGAUUAAUUAAAUAUUUAUAGGUAUAAGAUGGGCAUGCGUAUGAUUAGCUAGUUGGUAAGGUAACGGCUUACCAAGGCGACGAUCAUUAGGGGUUCUGAGAGGAAGGUCCCCCACACUGGUACUGAGACACGGACCAGACUCCUACGGGAGGCAGCAGUGAGGAAUAUUGGUCAAUGGGCGCAAGCCUGAACCAGCCAUGCCGCGUGCAAGGAAGACGGCCUUAUGGGUUGUAAACUGCUUUUACAUAAGACUAACCGUAUAUUUGCGAAUAUACCUGAAUGUAUUAUGAGAAUAAGGAUCGGCUAACUCCGUGCCAGCCGCCGC
Molecule: ribosomal RNA, 516 nt
Filed under: uncultured bacterium
Lineage: Bacteria
Description: bacterial SSU rRNA
Rfam family: Bacterial small subunit ribosomal RNA
Source: RNAcentral